UGUAUAGCUAUUUGCUAUGGCAAGAUAGGU
This 30-nucleotide non-coding RNA is filed under the name Mus musculus (house mouse). Lineage: Eukaryota; Metazoa; Chordata; Mammalia; Rodentia; Muridae. The record is from RNAcentral. RNAcentral also lists the same sequence under 1 other name.